AGCUAGCGGCAGGCUUACACAUGCAAGUCGAGGGGUAGGGGAAGCUUGCUUCCUUGAGACCGGCGCACGGGUGCGUAACGCGUAUGCAACCUACCUUUUACAGAGGGAUAGCCCAGAGAAAUUUGGAUUAAUACCUCAUGGUAUAUAUCAUUCGCAUGUUUGAUAUAUUAAAGUUCCAACGGUAAAAGAUGGGCAUGCGUCCUAUUAGCUAGAUGGUAAGGUAACGGCUUACCAUGGCAACGAUAGGUAGGGGUCCUGAGAGGGAGAUCCCCCACACUGGUACUGAGACACGGACCAGACUCCUACGGGAGGCAGCAGUGAGGAAUAUUGGACAAUGGGCGCAAGCCUGAUCCAGCCAUGCCGCGUGCAGGAAGAAGCAUCUAUGGUGUGUAAACUGCUUUUGUACGGGAAGAAACACUCCUUCGUGAAGGAGCUUGACGGUACCGUAAGAAUAAGGAUCGGCUAACUCCGUGCCAGCAGCCGCGGUAAUACGGAGGAUCCAAGCGUUAUCCGGAAUCAUUGGGUUUAAAGGGUCCGUAGGCGGUUUGGUAAGUCAGUGGUGAAAGCCCGCAGCUCAACUGUGGAACGGCCAUUGAUACUGCCAGACUUGAAUUACAAGGAAGUAACUAGAAUAUGUAGUGUAGCGGUGAAAUGCUUAGAUAUUACAUGGAAUACCAAUUGCGAAGGCAGGUUACUACUUGUGGAUUGACGCUGAUGGACGAAAGCGUGGGGAGCGAACAGGAUUAGAUACCCUGGUAGUCCACGCCGUAAACGAUGGAUACUAGCUGUUGGGGGCAACUUCAGUGGCUAAGCGAAAGUGAUAAGUAUCCCACCUGGGGAGUACGUUCGCAAGAAUGAAACUCAAAUGAAUUGACGGAAGGCGAAUUCUGCAGAUA
RNAcentral lists this ribosomal RNA (896 nucleotides) under uncultured Flavobacterium sp. RNAcentral describes it as "bacterial SSU rRNA". It matches the Rfam family "Bacterial small subunit ribosomal RNA", at positions 34 to 935 of the family's 1533-position model. The record is from RNAcentral. Lineage: Bacteria; Pseudomonadati; Bacteroidota; Flavobacteriia; Flavobacteriales; Flavobacteriaceae.